Long non-coding RNA from Hemicordylus capensis (graceful crag lizard), 671 nucleotides. RefSeq lists it as uncharacterized. Lineage: Eukaryota; Metazoa; Chordata; Lepidosauria; Squamata; Cordylidae. The record is from RefSeq and is a predicted model, not a curated record. The transcript is spliced from 4 exons.
GCUGGAGAGAACCUCAAAAUGUUGUUAACCAUGUGUCGCUCACACUCCUUGCCGGGUUUGCAGCAUGUGCCCGUCUGUUUGCUAUGAGAUUCUGUGAAGCAGUGGGGAAAUGUGUUCAUCUCACCAUCCUACAAUCUACAGAGAUUUCAAUGGAAAGAAUUCCAGCUGAGCACUGACCCAUCAGGUGAAGGCAGCUUGAUUCUGACUGGUCAGAGUGGCUGUGAAGGAGCCUUUGAAAGCUGUUUUGGGCCAUGCCUCAGAUGCCCUACCAACUCUACCAACUACAAAGCUGAAGGAAUUCCUUGCCUCUUUGCUGGCAUUUAGUACACAGUUUCACAUUAUACUGUAUUUGUGUCUUGACGUUUGGGAAUAUGUGGAAAAAAGGAUGGGGUGACAAGAUGGGCACUUUGUGGAGAGCUCUACACCAAUCAAGUAUAAAGCGAUGAAGAAGUAUUUCUACAAGCAUGUUAAGUCCUGGCGGCACCAUGAACCAGACAACCCAGUUGUUUCCCAAUGAAGAAAACACGUCAGGGGAGUGCUACCCAGGGUCUGGGUUGAAAGGCAAGCCCUGGAAUUCAUGAGUGGAUCUGCUCUAUUUUUUGUACAAAUUAGUAGGGAAGGAGCCUCUUCCCUUUUGGAGCAAGCACACAUUCUAUGGCAUUACGCAUGAG